UUAGUGGCGGACGGGUGAGUAACGCGUGGAUAACCUGCCGUAUACAGGGGGAGUAACACUUAGAAAUAGGUGCUAAUACCGCAUAAGCGCACGGUUCCGCAUGGAACAGUGUGAAAACUACCGGUGGUAUACGAUGGAUCCCGCGUCUGAUUAGCCAGUUGGUGGGGUAACGGCCCACCAAAGCGACGAUCAGUAGCCGGCCUGAGAGGGUGAACGGCCACAUUGGGACUGAGACACGGCCCAAACUCCUACGGGAGGCAGCAG
This 264-nucleotide ribosomal RNA is filed under the name uncultured bacterium. RNAcentral describes it as "partial 16S ribosomal RNA". It matches the Rfam family "Bacterial small subunit ribosomal RNA", at positions 92 to 354 of the family's 1533-position model. The record is from RNAcentral.